RNAcentral lists this ribosomal RNA (253 nucleotides) under uncultured microorganism. RNAcentral's name for it is "partial 16S ribosomal RNA". It matches the Rfam family "Bacterial small subunit ribosomal RNA", at positions 524 to 776 of the family's 1533-position model. The record is from RNAcentral.
UACGUAGGCCUCAAGCGUUAUCCGGAUUUACUGGGCGUAAAGGGUGCGCAGGCGGCCCGUUAAGACAGGUGUGAAAUCCCUGGGCUCAACCUAGGAAUUGCGCUUGUGACUGGCGGGCUCGAGUACGGUAGAGGGGGGUGGAAUUCCUAGUGUAGCAGUGAAAUGCGUAGAGAUCAGGAGGAACACCGAUGGCGAAGGCAGCCACCUGGGCCUGUACUGACGCUCAUGCACGAAAGCGUGGGGAGCAAACAGG